This 459-nucleotide ribosomal RNA is filed under the name Triticum aestivum (bread wheat). RNAcentral describes it as "partial small subunit ribosomal RNA". Lineage: Eukaryota; Viridiplantae; Streptophyta; Magnoliopsida; Poales; Poaceae. The record is from RNAcentral.
AUGGAUGGGCUUCUACAUUGGGACUUCUCCCCCGGCCUUGUGGUCGCGGCUCUGGUGCGUCGUCGCUUUGGAUCUACUGUCCACUUCUCCAACUCUGGUUCGACCAAGGAGUUUUUCUUGGUAGUAAGCUUCUCCUUAGCCUCAUUCCCUCUCAAUGAAGAAUCGGUGGCCAUUGCAUUGCAAUGUUGCAUUGGUAGUUUGCCUUCGGGACUACAUGUUCAUCAUUUGGAGGGCAGAAAGUUUCGAUUUUCAGUUGCUUCUAAUCGUGUUGGUCACUUCAUCUAUGGGCUUAAGGAUAGAGUUUGGCCGAAUUUUGUUUGCCAUUUCAGUCUCUUUCGUUCUGCCACUCAGCUACCCAUGGAAGAUCCACGGACCUGGCAUUUGGACCUAGCAUUCGAAUGGGCUUAUCAGAGAAAUACAUUGCUUCAUUAUGGAAAAUUCAUUCUGUCCCGACCGUAG